UACAUUUGUGGAACAACGUGUAUCGGAACUAGGACAGGUACCUAAUAAUAAUUGUGAAACGUGCGAAAUUUUCAAGAAAAAUCGAUACUCACGGUUCAAGAUAUAUUCAAGGUGGUAUACUACCAAAAAGUCCAGGGUAAAAAAGUCCUGGGAAAUAGUUCAAGUAAAAAAGUCCAUGGUUAAAUGUCCUUGGUGAAAAAAUCAGAUUUGUUUCCCUCAAGAAUCUGUGUGGUGGUUUCCACGUCUGGUGCGAGUGCUGCAUCCAGUGUGUUGGGUAUG
Myzus persicae (green peach aphid) is the source of this 279-nucleotide long non-coding RNA. RefSeq lists it as uncharacterized. NCBI's taxonomy places the organism in Eukaryota, Metazoa, Arthropoda, Insecta, Hemiptera, Aphididae. The record is from RefSeq and is a predicted model, not a curated record. The transcript is spliced from 2 exons.